UAAAUGUGCAAAAAACAGCCCGACUAAACCGUAACCUGAGUGCGUGUAUUAACACACCUCAGAUGGGGCGCAUCACAAAAGAGAGGAGGAAGGGGACACGGAUCUAGCUCUGAGUUCACCGUUUUCCAGCAACUUCGCCGGCUCCGGCCUCCCACUGGGCUUGCCAGCAGCGAGGAGACGCACCCGCAGGCGAACUCACAGGCGCCGAAGAAAACAGGCUGAGUGGGGCUGGGAAAAGAGCGCAGUUGCCGAGAGGAAGGGGCCUGGAUGUCACCAUGCCGCCUCCCCGGGGACCUCGGAACUUGGUGCGGCCACACCACCGGCGGGACAAGACUCGAUCCCGCCCAGGAAAGGGAGCAGCUUUCUCUCCGGCCCACCCCAAGGGAAAAUAAACGGCCUCUGGCGCUUUGCUGCAUUCCUGAUUUUUAACAAAACUAUUGUUGGAGGUUGGCCCCCGUGCUUGCUCCUCGGCGGGAGCAAACCUGCCCACUCCCCGGCCCGCGGCGGAGCCAGCGCCGCCCAGCCGGCAGGCCGGGAACAAUGCCUCUUUGUAGCGGGCCCUCGAGGCAGCUGCGGCCCGCCACGCCCAGGGCCCUCCCCUUAGAGAAUUCCGAAAGCAGUCUCAAGCCCUGCUCUUCCUCGAGGUCUCGACCUGGGAAGAAAGCAAAGCAUCCUUCCUAAUCCUUCCGAGGGGGUGAGAGAGAAGGGAACUAACUUUUCCUGCGCCCCGUGUGUGCCAGCCCUUGAAUCCUCCCUGGCAGCCUUGUCCAGAGGAAUUAUAACCCGCCUUUAGUUUAUGUGCCUUGUGCCAGGUCCCACAAUGGUAAAUGGCAGAGGGGAUCUCAAACUCAGCGCUAAAAGAAAUUAUAUAUACAUAUUUUUUUUCUUUUCACCACCCAGGGUUGAGGAUUAAAGCCAUUUUGACAUUG
This is a long non-coding RNA of Delphinapterus leucas (beluga whale), 929 nucleotides long. RefSeq lists it as uncharacterized. Lineage: Eukaryota; Metazoa; Chordata; Mammalia; Artiodactyla; Monodontidae. The record is from RefSeq and is a predicted model, not a curated record.